UUGUUAAGUAAAAAUAGAAUGCUCUGGAGUAUUUCAAAAUGGUUCCUUUGCCCUUCUUCCUGCCAGAAAUAUGAGGGAGUUUUUCUCUGAUACUGUGAGCACCUCGUAAAGCUCCUAGAGGAAAAAACAAAAAAUAUGGGGCCCUCCUGACUGGGUUCCCCUCGAGUUUUUAAUUCUACACUGAGACUUCAGCAAUUCUGUCAAUUACUGUUCAGGUUUUCUUACCCUGGCAAUGGUUCCUGUGGAAUAUGCUGCUCAUAGGUUCCUGCUUGAGCUUCCUUCUGUAAUAUAAAACUGGUGGUGAAGAAUUUGUUUCAUCCUUCAGAUUUCUCCCCAUGAAUCAGAUACUAGUGAAGCGCUAAAGGAUAUGAGACCUAUCUCUAUGUGUUCACGGUCCAGACAAGAGGAGAGCCCCUGCCAGGAUGUGCUGUGCUUCUGGAAGAGGGAAAGAGCAGUGACAGAGCCAUAAGAAAGCUCUUUAGGUUUCUGCUCAGAAGCAGCAAACAUCACUUUCUUUCACAUUUGAAUGCUCACAGAAAGUGAUACGAUUAAUAUUAAUAUAGUUGUUAAUGGGGUAGGGAAGUAAAAUCCUCUUAAGGACAUAAUUUUGAACAGUGACAAUCCAUGACAUAAAGACAUAAUUAUUCCUUAUAACAAGUCCAAAUUUAUCUCCUUCUAAUUUUUCUACAAUUAGUAAAGUCUAUUAUUUCUCACCACAGCUAUGUUCUAGGGUCCUCUUACUUCUGUUUGCACAGUCCUCAACUUUGUUCAGCAUACUUUUAUUUUUUUCUUUAACCAUGAUUGCUGGUUUUCCUUCUUCAUUCCUUGUCUCCAUCCCCAAUACACUCUCUACACAACAAGGGUCACCUCUUUUAAAUAUGAGUAUAAUCAUGUUAGUGUUUAAAACCUUAUAAUCAUUUCCUGUUACUCAUAACAGGGCUAUAAUUAUUCUCCAUGUAAAAAUGCCCUGCAUGAUCUCUUUCCUGCUUUCCACUCUAUAUUCUCUUCCUGUGCUUUCUCUCUUCCUCCAGACGCUCAGUAUAGAUCAAAAUGUUUCCCCUAACUCUCCAAAUGGCCCAUUCCAUUUUAUUUUGUACUCAGUUAAAUGUCACCUCAUCAGAGAAGUCUUCCUCAAUUGCCCCAUGCAAAGUAGAACACCUACUCUGUUACUUUCUCCUUUAGCCAGUUUAUUUAUUUAUUUUAUAAUAGCAUCAAUCUCUAGAAUGUUUGGUAAAACACCAAUAUAAUAUUGUUGAGUCCUGAAAUUAUAACAUAUGGGUCUGGAAUAAAGGGGUAUGCAUAGAAUUAGGCCUCUUGCCAUUACUCUCAGAGACCCACUUGGAAAUGUCUUUCCCAUCUCUAUAACUUGAAUCUCUGCUGAAUUAGUCUGUAUUUCCAACCAGACACAAUGAUGUUUUCAGUAAAACUGAAGCUAUUGCAGUUGUAUUGUCAUUUGGGACAUCAUAUGCCAGUAGACUAGUUAAGAAAGAAAACAGUUACCAUUCUUCUAAGGGAAAACUGAGCUCUGAUUAUCAUGAGGAGCUGGACCCACUGCCACACAGUCAGAAUGGGGAGGAAUGUGUCUGGAACUUGGAGAGUUAUCAAAGCAUCUUUUUGAGUUUUCUUGACUGAUAAGAGUGGAAGGAAAAUUGCGUCUCCCACAGCUUGACAAAAAACAAAACAUCCAAAUGCUCAGACCCCUCGGGAAUAAAAGAUCUGAAUCAGCUCACCUAGAAUAUGGAGAUUUAAUAAGCAUUUCUCAGCAACCAGUCAUUGAUAAGAAAAAGGCAACAAAUGUCUCAGACUCCUUGAGAAAGAUCUCCACCAUCUGACUAGACAGGCGUCUAGACUGCGACAGUGCUGGACAGAGGGCAAUCUAGAAUGGCAGCUAGAGGAUGGAGAUAAUGAACAUUAUGACCUUAGGAAAAACUUUAGCGGAGGGUACUAGAGCUUGUCUCAUUAAACCUUAGUAUUGAGUCUUUUUUUAAGAGAAUGUGAUUGGUUACCACUCCGAAGAGUAAUUCACAGUAAAAUUAACAUGGGUUACAAAUAGAGUGGCGUGGUGUUGGAGGAGAUGCUUUCCUAAAAUCCUCUUACCCCACUGUACAUUCAGUUACAGUUGUGGCAGACACUUCUGUGUGUGCUGACAGUACCCUCAAGCAUGCGCCAUUCAUCUUGCUGCAUUUCUGUCUCAUAAUUUUCCCUGACAAUGCAGAAGCCCACUCAGCUCACAUGCAGGCAUUUCCUGGCAAUGCAGGAGUGUUAAUGCUGCAGGGGUUGGGAUCUGAUGCACAGCUGCCCUAGCCAUCCUCUGUAUGGACACUGUUUUGAGGUGCUCUAUAUAUUUAGCAGAGGACCUGGUUGAGUUGAGCCCCUGUUGAAUACAGCCGUGACCUCAAGAAGGUGCUGUUUAUUGGAUUUUCCUAGUUCAUAUCACAUUUUCCCUGUUCCCUCACUUCAACUUUCUGUAAUGAACUACCAACCAAAAUGCCUGCACCCAAAUUUGGGUCUUAAGUUCAGUUUACGGGAGAACUCAGACAAUUAUGAUGUAACUUCAGAAAACGAGGAUAUGGCUAUAUAAUGGAUUGCCUAUAACAAUUAACUUGGGUGUCUAGAAAGCCAAAUAGGACAAAGAAUAGCAAAGUACAAUUAUUUAGCAACAAAGAGAGGUUUACAUUACAAAGUUGGGCAUCCAGAAAGAAUUUUAGUGUUGGGGAAAAAGUCCAUCUGUCAUUUGUGUUAAGAUGCUUAUUAUUAGCCAUCCGACAUUGCUGUGCUUCAUGUACCAAAUUAAAAGGGAUUGAGCAGAACAACUGUGUAAGCCGCUUAUCUCCUCAGUGUGCUUUUUUAAUACAGAAUUUAUUGUGUAUUUUCCUAUUUAUAAAAUGAUAUAUAUUCAUCAUAGAAGAUUUGAAUAUUACAAAAACAU
This is a long non-coding RNA of Zalophus californianus (California sea lion), 2929 nucleotides long. RefSeq lists it as uncharacterized. NCBI's taxonomy places the organism in Eukaryota, Metazoa, Chordata, Mammalia, Carnivora, Otariidae. The transcript has 3 exons. The record is from RefSeq and is a predicted model, not a curated record.